GUUUCGGGGCGGGGUGUGACUCCCCACCGGCGGUGAUGGGCAUUCAGCCAUGAGUCCGCGACCUGCGAAAGCAGCUGAUCCGGUGCGAUCCCGGAACCGACGGUAUAGUCCGGAUGAAAGAAA
Molecule: non-coding RNA, 123 nt
Filed under: human gut metagenome
Also listed under: 2 other names
Description: FMN riboswitch (RFN element)
Rfam family: FMN riboswitch aptamer (RFN element)
About the family: The RFN element is a highly conserved domain that is found frequently in the 5'-untranslated regions of prokaryotic mRNAs that encode for flavin mononucleotide (FMN) biosynthesis and transport proteins.
Source: RNAcentral